CCGGGGGGAUGACGGAGCGGCGAACGGGUGGGUAACACGUGGGCAACCUGCCCUCAGCUCUGGGACAACUCCGGGAAACCGGGGCUAAUACCGGAUACGACUUCCUGCGGCAUCUCGGGAAGUGGAAAGUUUUUCGGCUGAGGAUGGGCCCGCGGCCUAUCAGCUUGUUGGUGGGGUAAUGGCCUACCAAGGCGACGACGGGUAGCCGGCCUGAGAGGGCGACCGGCCACACUGGGACUGAGACACGGCCCAG
RNAcentral lists this ribosomal RNA (253 nucleotides) under uncultured bacterium. RNAcentral describes it as "partial 16S ribosomal RNA". It matches the Rfam family "Bacterial small subunit ribosomal RNA", at positions 79 to 334 of the family's 1533-position model. The record is from RNAcentral.